GCCAUUACAACCCUGAGUUCUCCUGUGACUACAAGUCAUGGGGCCACAAGAAAAAGAAAAAAAGUCAUUCUACUGGAAAACUGAAAAAAUAUAUUUGAUUUGGCUCUUCAAUUAUGCAUAAAAACUCACUGGGUAAAGAUGGAAUGAAAGACUAUUCAGAAGAAGGGACAUUUUGCAAAGCCAGAGGUAUGAAUACACAUGACUUAUUUGGGAAAGGUGGGCAGAUUGGGGUGAAUAGACUUUAGAAGAUACUGUUAUAUAGACAAAUGGACACAAAGCUUUAAAGACAUUUUGGGGCCAGAUUGUAAAGAACCUUGUAAACAUUGUUGAUUACCUUAGAUUUUAGCCCACAGUCAGAACAGCACAUGAAACACUUUCACAAAAGUUAAAGAGCAUGACGAGGAUUUUAUUUUUUAAAUGUAAUUAUGAAAAGAGAAUCAAGGCUGAAUUGGAACAGAGAGCAGGAGAAGACUAGAGACGACAGAAGGAGACUUCUUCAACUAGAGAAAAAAAAGUCUUGAACAAGUGGUAAACUAAUUAUUUCCUAUCAGUCAAUUAAAGUACCUUUCACACUUAGAAAUUUAUCAUGGCGUUUUAUUUCCCAUUGCAGAAAGACUGAAAUCUUCCUGGCAUUAAUGACACCUAUGAUUUAAAUUCACUUUUCUCAUAUAAUUAUUUCUUACUCUACUGGUUUGUCUAAGCGUGUUCUUAAAACUUGUAGUAAAGUGAUUUUAAAAGUAUCUCAAGCCCUGACAUUCUGUUUGUGCAAUCUCAGGUAAGUACUUAACCCCUCUGUGGAACAAUUUUCUUACUUGUUUUAUUAAGGCAUGGUCUAUGUCUACUUUGUCCAUUUUUGUAUUUUAGCCCAGAGUACAGGACAUAAAAAGUGUUCAAUAAACAUUCACUGAUUAAAUAGAGUGAUAAUAAUAUCUACCUCAUAUACAGGCUGAGCAUUACUAAUCCAAAAACCUGAAAUUCAAAAUUCUUCAAAACCCAGGAUAUUGUGAGUGUAGACAAGAUGCUACAAGUGGGACAUUCUAUGUCUGACUUCAUGUG
Molecule: long non-coding RNA, 1056 nt
Filed under: Homo sapiens (human)
Lineage: Eukaryota; Metazoa; Chordata; Mammalia; Primates; Hominidae
Description: HSALNT0142106
Source: RNAcentral